This 253-nucleotide ribosomal RNA is filed under the name uncultured bacterium. Its description in RNAcentral is "partial 16S ribosomal RNA". It matches the Rfam family "Bacterial small subunit ribosomal RNA", at positions 524 to 776 of the family's 1533-position model. The record is from RNAcentral.
GACGAACCGUGCGAACGUUGUUCGGAUUCACUGGGCUUAAAGGGCGCGUAGGCGGGUCAGCAAGUCCGGGGUGAAAGCUUUCGGCUCAACCGGAAAAGGGCCUUGGAUACUGCUGGUCUGGAGGAAGGUAGGGGCGUGUGGAACUUCCGGUGGAGCGGUGAAAUGCGUAGAUAUCUGGAGGAACACCGGUGGCGAAGGCGGCAUCCUGGACCGGUAUUGACGCUGAGGCGCGAAAGCCAGGGGAGCAAACGGG